GUAGUAGUACGUACAGACCAGGCAGUAGUAUGUGUGUAUAAUGCAUAGACUAGGCAGUAGUAUGUACAGACCAGGCAGUAGUACGUACAGACCAGGCAACAGUAUGUGUGUAUAAUGCAUAGACUAGGCAGUAGUAUGUACAGACCAGGCAGUAGUAUGUACAGACCAGGCAGUAGUAUGCAUAGACUAGGCAGUAGUAUGUACAGACCAGGCAGUAGUUCGUACAGACCAGGCAGUAGUAUGUACAGACCAGGCAGAAGUAUGUACAGACCAGGCAGUAGUAUGUACAGACCAGGCAGUAGUAUGCAUAGCCCAGGCAGUAGUAUGCAUAGACCAGGUAGUAGUAUGCAUAGACCAGGCAGUAGUACGCAUAGACCAGGCAGUAGUAUGUACAGACCAGGCAGUAGUAUGUACAGACCAGGUAGUAGUAUGUAUUUUAAACAUCUUCUCCAGGACCACUGGACCAAUUGGCACCAAAUUUGGAAUAUAUAGUCUAUAUACCCAUGUCUUUAAAUGCAGCAUUUUCCAGGACUAUAGCUCAAACAUUAUGGCUGCUAUGAAUCAAUGAGCUUGCACGAAUGGCUUUCAUGUCCAACAUCGCCACCAUGCGUAAAAACUGAACCAUACUUUCCAGGUUAGCUAGGCUCAUAUCCCUGAGCACGUGCACCAAAUUUCAUCACUCUGAGUCAAACAAAUUAAGAGAUAUAAACAUGUGCCUGUUAUACUGCCACUGUGUUGUCAAUCUGAAUGUGCUUGGAUAUGUUGAGUCUUCACAGUGUUUGGAACACGUGUACCAAGUUUUGUUACUAUACGUAUACGUGACUGACGUAUAUGCAUUCAUGUGCCAGACCACGCCCAGAAUGCUUAUUGGUCAAUAAUGGCCAUGUUGAUUUAGGUACUAGUCUGGAAAAUGUUUUAUUGGGAAAACGUUGUCCAUAGAUGCCACAUAUCAUGUUUUGUAGAGAUCCGCCACUCGGUGCCAGAGAAGUAGCGUUUAACGUGUUUUUCACUCAAUUCUAAACGGUGGAAAAUCCAUCAUUGUGAAUCUAAUGGAUCCUUGAGGUAAAUUUGGAGAGGGACCUAUGUACCGAAUUUCAUGACUCUAGAUAAAACAGGGUGAGGGGCACGACCUUUCAAAAUUGGCAUUUUCAAUCGCUUGUUAUAGCGACACCAUCUAGCCAACUGGCAUCGCAUGGGUGGGUUUGGCAGCUGGCCCUUAACAUCAUGUCAGGUUGCACCAUCCGAGGCCUUACCAUCUCACAGUAAUUAGCAUUUCAAUUUCGCCUUACAGAAGAAGAGGAUUAAUAAACAACGUAGCUGCAAUCAGCAAUGCCGGGGUUCAGCUGUGGGCCCACUGUGCCCUAGGACGAGUUACUUAUUUACCAUUUACCACUCUUGCCAAAUAAAACAACUCAAAAUCAAAGGGAUCAUGCAA
RNAcentral lists this long non-coding RNA (1435 nucleotides) under Salmo salar (Atlantic salmon). Its description in RNAcentral is "lncRNA (ENSSSAG00000090332.1)". Lineage: Eukaryota; Metazoa; Chordata; Actinopteri; Salmoniformes; Salmonidae. The record is from RNAcentral.